GAACUCUUUCACCUAUGAUCUCCUCUGAACAGCUGAUGAGGAAUUCGUGCCAUCAACCUGGAGGACAACUUGGAGGACCAAAUGCUCCCAACCAGACCUCAAGGUUAAAAAGAAUUUCAAAUGGGAGCCUUCUUUUGUAGUUUGGUGGGACUAAGCAGCUGUGGUGAGAAGAAGAAAAGUAGACAAGAGUUAUUUCACCCAAAAAGAGCCAAUAUUUAUUGACCAAUGAGGAAGAAUGGGAAUGAAAGGAAACAAAGAGAAGAAGCUGUGGAGGAAACAUGUGAAUAUGAUAGAGAAGGAGAAGGAAAUGAGGGAGAAAGAAAAGGCUUCGAAACAGUCUCUGUCUUAGGUUGCCAGAGUCCCAUUCCUCAACAAGAACUGGAUUUUCACUAUUCAUAGCCCUAAGUAAACGAGACAACCAACGCCAAUUUUUCCAGUGUCCUGAGGGUCUGCUGCUAUAACCACACCACCUCUGGUAUUGACAAAUCCGGGUUCUUCAGUUGAGAAGAUAAUUCUGAGGAAUCUACAUAGGAAACAAAUUGUCCAGAAGCAUACCGGAUAAGACAGGGUUUCUAGAGAAGACAGAGAACCAGACUCGGGAGCCAUAUAACUAAGAAAAAUGUAAGCCACAGAAGUGGUUCCAGGCUGCCACUUCCUCUGGGUGGACACAAAGCUGGACUCCGGAUGCUGCUACCAGAAACACUUCUGUGUCACCUCUGCAAGCAGGUGUUACUUUCUCAGUCUCUGCCUAUGGCCAGGUAACAGUCAAUAUCGCCCCUGCCUUGAGGGACCACUAGUUUCUCAUCCAAAGUCAAGGGACAGUUCUGAAUGAAGGAGCCUAGGUCAUUUGCUGUCCUAGGGUGCCUUACCCAGAA
This is a long non-coding RNA of Gorilla gorilla gorilla (western lowland gorilla), 875 nucleotides long. RefSeq lists it as uncharacterized. Lineage: Eukaryota; Metazoa; Chordata; Mammalia; Primates; Hominidae. The transcript has 3 exons. The record is from RefSeq and is a predicted model, not a curated record.